This 225-nucleotide unclassified non-coding RNA is filed under the name Hevea brasiliensis (rubber tree). Lineage: Eukaryota; Viridiplantae; Streptophyta; Magnoliopsida; Malpighiales; Euphorbiaceae. The record is from RNAcentral.
CUUGUUCAAAGACCUUACUUGCAUUCUGAUGAAAGUACCAUUCAGGAAUCCAUUUUGCAAUGUGGGAUCUUUUUGUUCCUCCAAACCUCACAAUAAGCAUAGAUUUUCCUUGUCCAGUUGGUCUGCAAAGGAAGAGGCCUGUGAAGUACUGCGUCACUCCAUUCUCAUCAAUGAUUUCUCUAUUAUUUUGAAGAACACACGGUGCUUCAAACCGUAGGAAGUUUA